RNAcentral lists this ribosomal RNA (851 nucleotides) under marine sponge bacterium liquidOTU4. Its description in RNAcentral is "bacterial SSU rRNA". It matches the Rfam family "Bacterial small subunit ribosomal RNA", at positions 56 to 902 of the family's 1533-position model. The record is from RNAcentral.
UGCAAGUCGAGCGGAUGAGAAGAGCUUGCUCUUCGAUUCAGCGGCGGACGGGUGAGUAAUGCCUAGGAAUCUGCCUGGUAGUGGGGGACAACGUUUCGAAAGGAACGCUAAUACCGCAUACGUCCUACGGGAGAAAGCAGGGGACCUUCGGGCCUUGCGCUAUCAGAUGAGCCUAGGUCGGAUUAGCUAGUUGGUGAGGUAAUGGCUCACCAAGGCGACGAUCCGUAACUGGUCUGAGAGGAUGAUCAGUCACACUGGAACUGAGACACGGUCCAGACUCCUACGGGAGGCAGCAGUGGGGAAUAUUGGACAAUGGGCGAAAGCCUGAUCCAGCCAUGCCGCGUGUGUGAAGAAGGUCUUCGGAUUGUAAAGCACUUUAAGUUGGGAGGAAGGGCAUUAACCUAAUACGUUAGUGUUUUGACGUUACCGACAGAAUAAGCACCGGCUAACUCUGUGCCAGCAGCCGCGGUAAUACAGAGGGUGCAAGCGUUAAUCGGAAUUACUGGGCGUAAAGCGCGCGUAGGUGGUUUGUUAAGUUGGAUGUGAAAGCCCCGGGCUCAACCUGGGAACUGCAUCCAAAACUGGCAAGCUAGAGUACGGUAGAGGGUGGUGGAAUUUCCUGUGUAGCGGUGAAAUGCGUAGAUAUAGGAAGGAACACCAGUGGCGAAGGCGACCACCUGGACUGAUACUGACACUGAGGUGCGAAAGCGUGGGGAGCAAACAGGAUUAGAUACCCUGGUAGUCCACGCCGUAAACGAUGUCAACUAGCCGUUGGAAUCCUUGAGAUUUUAGUGGCGCAGCUAACGCAUUAAGUUGACCGCCUGGGGAGUACGGCCGCAAGGUUAAAACUC